GGAAAAGGGGGGGAGGAAAAAGAGGAAACCGUUGGUUGGGCGGCGGUCGAGGAGUGUGUCUGGCGGAGAAGGAGAGGAGCUCCCGCGAGGCGCCAGAGCCCAAGACGGGACGGCGCCCCCGUGCGUAGGCCCAGGUACUGCAGGCGGGACCCAGACACCGGGUCACGCACCGUGCUGCCCAGCGGACAUAUACGAUGGGCAGCUGAGUUCCUGAGAGCCCUUCCAACGUGGAGGAAGCGGACCGAGGCAAAGGAAGCAGAGCUUCGGAUGCUGGCGAUGGAGAAUGGACAUCCCACGAACCAUAUUAAUUCUCCUCAAUGAGGGUUAAGUCCAGUGAUGCUCACCGACCCUGAGGGACCCACCCCACUGCUCACCUGGCAUCAAUCCAUAUGUGGAACGGCAAAUUCCUGGGCUGUCGGGGUCCACUGUACACUGGAAGACAGACACAGUCACUGGACGGGAGACGGAGGACACAGAGCAGGACAGGCAGAAGCGGAACAGGAUUACUGGGGUGCAG
Molecule: long non-coding RNA, 517 nt
Organism: Paramormyrops kingsleyae
Lineage: Eukaryota; Metazoa; Chordata; Actinopteri; Osteoglossiformes; Mormyridae
Source: RefSeq, a predicted model, not a curated record